AGUGAUUUAUAAUGAGCGCUAAAAAAAAAAAAACUAUGUAAUGCAGUUUAUUUUAUUAUCACGUGCUGACAUAACCUGAGACUAAAAGCUGUGAUAUACAUUUUGUCCACUAGAGAGAGCCAAAUUAUAUGGACAAGGCCUAUUUGAAAGUGAAAGUCCUGACAUUUACCAAGUAACCCAUCCUCGGAGCUGGUGCUCUGCAUUUAACCCAUCCAAGUGCACACACACAGCAGUGAGAAGUGAACACACACCCGGAGCAGUGGGCAGCUACAGAUCCAGCGCUGGGGAGCAACUGGGGGUUCAGUGCCAGGGUAUUGAGUUCAGUCCAUGGGUAUUGAGGGUGGAAGAGAGCGCUGUUCAUUCACUCACUCCCACCUACAACUCCUGCCAGCACCGAGACUUGAACCGGAUACCUUCUUGUAAGUAGUCCAAGUCUCUAACAAUUAGGCCACAAACUUGUGCGAACUUCUAUGUCAAAAUCAAAUUCUCCAGUCAAAAACCCUUACAUGAUCUAUCAAUAUCAAACUUUGGCCUCAGAUGACAAAACCUACAGUACAAAUACACACACUACAAUAGUUUAGCUUCCUUAAAUAUAAUAAGUUAUCUUUACUUAGUUGUUAUACUUACUAGGUUUUAUUAAGUUACAAAAUUUGCUAAUUUUAAGGCAAAUAAAACAACAUGCUGCAAUGAGUAAUUCUUUCUUAAAAUAUUCAAGUAGCUACAACAAAACCGAUGACAUUAAUUCACCAGUGAGAGGCAGCAGUGCGCUAAUGUGCAACAGGAACAAAACAACAGAAGAAGAAAUAAGGACGGUGAGCAUGCGCAGCAAGCAAAGUUUUGAAGCUGCGUCGAAUUUGCUGAAACUGAGAAGUAAAAAGACUGUUUACAUUUCACCUCUGGACAAAGAAUGAUUGAUUACUUCUACACAAUAAUAAUAAGGAAAAAAGCUUGUGUCAUCUGUCUUCUCUGAGCAGCGGUCUUGUGAUCACCGGUCUCAGUAUAAUAAAGAUUUGACAGAACUACACACCCAUCUGAUGCCUACCUGUUUUAAUUCAUGAUCCCCCCGGAUACUUCUACAACUAACCCGCCUUGGUGUCUGAUGCUGAUGCAAUCUGGGCACUAGUAUCUGUUGGCUUGCUGACUAUCACUGACGAUGAAGUACUUCUCCAAAUCUUGACCCAGUGUCUUCUGCCAUCAUUGUUCAGGGUAGUACUGCAAAGAAUAGUCUCCAGGGUCUGCCUCCAACAUUUGCUUCCCGACCACCAUGUGCUACGUUUGCAUCACUGCUACAUGUGGGUUACCCUGAUACUGUGAAGAGCGCCUACAAUAUGAUGCUUGACUUGGGACAGAAAAAAAAACAUUGGCAACUUGUGUGGCCAACUCAUUGCCGUAUUUAAAAUCAUUGUACUGCUACCUCCAUUGUUUAACAUAACUAAAAGCAGAUUGUUUUUGCUUUGUUUCAAAAUUUUUGUAAUACGAGUUAAAACUACAUUGAAAAAAAUAUAUCAUCUUUAACUUUGAA
This is a long non-coding RNA of Carassius auratus (goldfish), 1522 nucleotides long. RefSeq lists it as uncharacterized. The record is from RefSeq and is a predicted model, not a curated record. The transcript has 4 exons. Lineage: Eukaryota; Metazoa; Chordata; Actinopteri; Cypriniformes; Cyprinidae.